CAGGCCUAACACAUGCAAGUCGAACGAGGUCCUUCGGGGCCUAGUGGCGCACGGGUGCGUAACGCGUGGGAAUCUGCCCUUGGGUCUGGGAUAACAGUUGGAAACGACUGCUAAUACCGGAUGAUAUCGCGAGAUCAAAGAUUUAUCGCCUGAGGAUGAGCCCGCGUCGGAUUAGCUUGUUGGUGGGGUAAAGGCCUACCAAGGCGACGAUCCGUAGCUGGUCUGAGAGGAUGAUCAGCCACACUGGGACUGAGACACGGCCCAGACUCCUACGGGAGGCAGCAGUGGGGAAUAUUGGACAAUGGGCGAAAGCCUGAUCCAGCAAUGCCGCGUGAGUGAUGAAGGCCUUAGGGUUGUAAAGCUCUUUUACCCGGGAUGAUAAUGACAGUACCGGGAGAAU
Molecule: ribosomal RNA, 400 nt
Filed under: uncultured bacterium
Lineage: Bacteria
Description: bacterial SSU rRNA
Rfam family: Bacterial small subunit ribosomal RNA
Source: RNAcentral